ACGCUGGCGGCACGCCUUAUACAUGCAAGUCGAACGAAGUAGCAAUACUUAGUGGCAGACGGGUGAGUAACAUGUGGGUAUCUUCCCUUUGGCCUGGAAUAACACGAGGAAACUUGUGCUAAUACCGGAUAAGUCUUUACGGAGAAAGCUUUAUGCACCAUUGGAUGAGCCUGCACUAGAUUAGUUUGUUGGUGGGGUAAUGGCCUACCAAGACUUUGAUCUAUAGCUGAUUUGAGAGGAUGAUCAGCCACAUUGGAACUGAGACACGGUCCAAACUCCUACGGGAGGCAGCAGUAGGGAAUCUUGCACAAUGGAGGAAACUCUGAUGCAGCGAUGCCGCGUGAGUGAAGAAGGCCCUUGGGUUGUAAAGCUCUUUCGUCGGGGAAGAAAAUGACUGUACCCGAAUAAGAAGGUCCGGCUAACUUCGUGCCAGCAGCCGCGGUAAUACGAAGGGACCUAGCGUAGUUCGGAAUUACUGGGCUUAAAGAGUUCGUAGGUGGUUAAAAAAGUUGGUGGUGAAAUCCCAGAGCUCAACUCUGGAACUGCCAUCAAAACUUUUUAGCUAGAGUAUGAUAGAGGAAAGCAGAAUUUCUAGUGUAGAGGUGAAAUUCGUAGAUAUUAGAAAGAAUACCGAUUGCGAAGGCAGCUUUCUGGAUCAUUACUGACACUGAGGAACGAAAGCAUGGGUAGCGAAGAGGAUUAGAUACCCUCGUAGUCCAUGCCGUAAACGAUGUGUGUUAGACGUUGGAAAUUUAUUUUCAGUGUCACAGAGAAAUCAGUAAACACACCGCCUGGGGAGUACGACCGC
This 808-nucleotide ribosomal RNA is filed under the name uncultured Pelagibacteraceae bacterium. RNAcentral's name for it is "bacterial SSU rRNA". It matches the Rfam family "Bacterial small subunit ribosomal RNA", at positions 33 to 889 of the family's 1533-position model. The record is from RNAcentral. Lineage: Bacteria; Pseudomonadati; Pseudomonadota; Alphaproteobacteria; Candidatus Pelagibacterales; Candidatus Pelagibacteraceae.